AGAACGAACGCUGGCGGCAUGCCUAACACAUGCAAGUCGGACGCUUUCGGGGGUUUCGGCCUCCGAGGGAGUGGCGGACGGGUGAGUAGCGCGUGGGAACCUGCCCCUUUGUGGGGGAUAACCGAGGGAAACUUCGGCUAAUACCGCAUGCGCCCGGGGGUAACUCCGGGGAAAGAUUUAUCGCAGAGGGAGGGGCCCGCGUCGGAUUAGGUAGUUGGUGGGGUAACGGCCUACCAAGCCGGUGAUCCGUAGCUGGUCUGAGAGGAUGAUCAGCCACACUGGGACUGAGACACGGCCCAGACUCCUACGGGAGGCAGCAGUGGGGAAUAUUGGACAAUGGGCGCAAGCCUGAUCCAGCAAUGCCGCGUGAGUGAUGAAGGCCUUAGGGUUGUAAAGCUCUUUCGGCGGGGACGAUGAUGACGGUACCCGCAGAAGAAGCCCAGGCUAACUUCGCGCCAGCAGCCGC
Molecule: ribosomal RNA, 466 nt
Filed under: uncultured bacterium
Lineage: Bacteria
Description: SSU rRNA
Rfam family: Bacterial small subunit ribosomal RNA
Source: RNAcentral